This 814-nucleotide ribosomal RNA is filed under the name uncultured archaeon. RNAcentral's name for it is "bacterial SSU rRNA". It matches the Rfam family "Archaeal small subunit ribosomal RNA", at positions 98 to 903 of the family's 1478-position model. The record is from RNAcentral.
ACAUGAUCAACUUACCCUAUGGAGAAAUAUAACCUCGGGAAACUGAGGAUAAUAUUUCAUAGUUGAAUAGGCUUGGAAAAGUUUUUCAAUGAAAGGGAUAAGAAAAAUGGUUCUUAUCUGCCAUAGGAUAGGAUCGUGGUCGAUUAUGGUUGUUGGUGAGGUAACGGCUCACCAAGCCGAUAAUCGAUAGGGGCCGUGAGAGCGGGAGCCCCAAGAUGGGUACUGAGACAGCGACCCAGGCCUUACGAGGCGCAGCAGGUACGAAACCUCCGCAAUACACGAAAGUGUGACGGGGUUACCCAAAGUGUUCUUAUUGAACUGUGGCAGGUGAGUAAUGUCCCCUGCUAGAAAGGAGAGGGCAAGGCUGGUGCCAGCCGCCGCGGUAAAACCAGCUCUUCAAGUGGUCGGGAUAAUUAUUGGGCUUAAAGUGUCCGUAGCCGGUUUAGUAAGUUCCUGGUAAAAUCAGGUAGCUUAACUAUCUGUAUGCUAGGAAUACUGCUAUACUAGAGGGCGGGAGAGGUCUGAGGUACUACAGGGGUAGGGGUGAAAUCUUAUAAUCCUUGUAGGACCACCAGUGGCGAAGGCGUCAGACUGGAACGCGCCUGACGGUGAGGGACGAAAGCCAGGGGAGCGAACCGGAUUAGAUACCCGGGUAGUCCUGGCCGUAAACGAUGCAUACUAGGUGAUGGUACGGCCAUGAGCCGUGUCAGUGCCGUAGGGAAACCGUUAAGUGCGCCGCCUGGGAAGUACGGUCGCAAGGCUAAAACUUAAAGGAAUUGGCGGGGAGCACCACAAGGGGUGAAGCCUGCGGUUC